RNAcentral lists this ribosomal RNA (497 nucleotides) under uncultured bacterium. Its description in RNAcentral is "partial 16S ribosomal RNA". It matches the Rfam family "Bacterial small subunit ribosomal RNA", at positions 28 to 507 of the family's 1533-position model. The record is from RNAcentral.
GAUGAACGCUGGCGGCGUGCCUAAUACAUGCAAGUCGAGCGAACAGACGAGGAGCUUGCUCCUCUGACGUUAGCGGCGGACGGGUGAGUAACACGUGGAUAACCUACCUAUAAGACUGGGAUAACUUCGGGAAACCGGAGCUAAUACCGGAUAAUAUAUUGAACCGCAUGGUUCAAUAGUGAAAGACGGUUUUGCUGUCACUUAUAGAUGGAUCCGCACCGCAUUAGCUAGUUGGUAAGGUAACGGCUUACCAAGGCAACGAUGCUUAGCCGACCUGAGAGGGUGACUGGCCAGACGGUAACUGAGACACGGCCGAGACUCCUACGGGGGGCAGCAGUAGGGAAUCUUCCGCAAUGGGGGAAAGCCUGACGGUGCAAAGUCGCGUGAGUGAUGAAGGUCUUCUGAUCGUAAAACUCUGUUAUUAGGGAAGAACAAAUGUGUAAGUAACUAUGCACGUCUUGACGGUACCUAAUCAGAAAGCCACGGCUAACUACGUG